CCGGCGAUGGUUCAUUCAAAUUUCUGCCCUAUCAACUUUCGAUGGUAGGAUAGUGGCCUACCAUGGUUUCAACGGGUAACGGGGAAUUAGGGUUCUAUUCCGGAGAGGGAGCCUGAGAAACGGCUACCACAUCCAAGGAAGGCAGCAGGCGCGCAAAUUACCCAAUCCCGACACGGGGAGGUAGUGACAAUAAAUACUGAUACAGGGCUCUUUUGAGUCUUGUAAUUGGAAUGAGUACAAUUUAAAUCCCUUAACGAGGAACAAUUGGAGGGCAAGUCUGGUGCCAGCAGCCGCGGUAAUUCCAGCUCCAAUAGCGUAUAUUAAAGUUGUUGCAGUUAAAAAGCUCGUAGUUGAACCUUGGGCCUGGCUGGCCGGUCCGCCUCACCGCGUGCACUGGUCCGGCCGGGCCUUUCCUCCUGGGGAGCCGCAUGCCCUUCACUGGGUGUGUCGGGGAACCAGGACUUUUACUUUGAAAAAAUUAGAGUGUUCAAAGCAGGCCUAUGCUCGAAUACAUUAGCAUGGAAUAAUAGAAUAGGACGUGUGGUUCUAUUUUGUUGGUUUCUAGGACCGCCGUAAUGAUUAAUAGGGAUAGUCGGGGGCAUCAGUAUUCAAUUGUCAGAGGUGAAAUUCUUGGAUUUAUUGAAGACUAACUACUGCGAAAGCAUUUGCCAAGGAUGUUUUCAUUAAUCAGUGAACGAAAGUUAGGGGAUCGAA
RNAcentral lists this ribosomal RNA (714 nucleotides) under Pseudogymnoascus pannorum. RNAcentral describes it as "SSU rRNA". It matches the Rfam family "Eukaryotic small subunit ribosomal RNA", at positions 284 to 1002 of the family's 1831-position model. Lineage: Eukaryota; Fungi; Ascomycota; Leotiomycetes; Thelebolales; Thelebolaceae. The record is from RNAcentral.